RNAcentral lists this ribosomal RNA (415 nucleotides) under uncultured bacterium. RNAcentral describes it as "bacterial SSU rRNA". It matches the Rfam family "Bacterial small subunit ribosomal RNA", at positions 358 to 773 of the family's 1533-position model. The record is from RNAcentral.
GGAAUAUUGGACAAUGGGCGAAAGCCUGAUCCAGCAACGCCGCGUGAGGGAUGACGGCCUUCGGUGUGUAAACCCCUGUUGCUCGGGACGAACAAGCGAUUUUGAUCGCUCUGACGGUACCGAGUGAGGAAGCACCGGCUAACUCCGUUCCAGCAGCCGCGGUAAUACGGAGGGUGCGAGCGUUGUCCGGAAUCACUGGGCGUAAAGGGCGCGUAGGCGGUCUGCUAAGCGUGCGGUGAAAGCCUGGGGCUCAACCCCAGGUCUGCCGUGCGAACUGGUGGACUCGAGCACUGUAGAGGCAGGUGGAAUUCCGGGUGUAGCGGUGGAAUGCGUAGAGAUUCGGAAGAACACCGGUGGCGAAGGCGGCCUGCUGGGCAGUAGCUGACGCUGAGGCGCGACAGCGUGGGGAGCAAAC